UGAUCGGUUCUCAGCCUUCCCCAGUGCUCACAAUCUCAAGCCUACCCUCUUCUCUGGCUAAAGCCACGUCUUGUCCCUAUCUCCAGUGUGCUACAUUUUCACAUGUAUCAGGACAUUCACCAAUUUGUGAGGCUGGGCUCUAUGGUUUUCAUCAUCCUCAGCCAACCUCAGUGCUUCCUGAAACUGGGAAACAUCUCAAAUAGGUGGUGUUCAUCUCUGCAAUCAGAUGUUUCCCAUGGCCUGUGAUUCCCCCACACUAAAUGGAGUGUGGAGGGUUUGACUAGCUUUCCCAUCUGAUGCUUGAACUUAAAGUGUGGAAGUGUGAGAGAAGAUGGCAAGAGAACCGGAAGAUGUUGCAGAUUUUCACCAAGAGAUUACGGUCAAACUGGAUGUAAACAACACGGUAUACCCAUCAACCAUCAGCAGAGAUGGCAAGAGAGGACACAGGCUCUGCAAGUUAAGGUCAUCUUAUUGCUCGGCUGAAGAAGCCACGUUCCACCCAGUUUCCUAGCGUGGUCCAGACUGUGUGCUUCUUCAGCAUCCGGACUUGUUUGAGUGGACCUUGAAUGCUUUCUCUCUUUCUCUCUCUCGCUUUUUUUUUGUUGUUCUACUUUGUUUCUGUUCCCUGUAAAUUCUCUGGAAGUUGUGCAAAU
This is a long non-coding RNA of Suricata suricatta (meerkat), 653 nucleotides long. RefSeq lists it as uncharacterized. NCBI's taxonomy places the organism in Eukaryota, Metazoa, Chordata, Mammalia, Carnivora, Herpestidae. The record is from RefSeq and is a predicted model, not a curated record. The transcript has 3 exons.